GGUCGAACAGGCUGUCGGGGUCGCAGUCGGCGGUGACGCCGCCGUUGAUGCCGUAGUCGAUACAGGCGUUCGCGGCGCGUUCUGCCUUC
Molecule: transfer RNA, 89 nt
Filed under: Haloferax massiliensis
Lineage: Archaea; Methanobacteriati; Methanobacteriota; Halobacteria; Halobacteriales; Haloferacaceae
Description: tRNA-Val
Source: RNAcentral